This 469-nucleotide long non-coding RNA is filed under the name Mus musculus (house mouse). RNAcentral's name for it is "long non-coding RNA chr11:26712904-26713373". The record is from RNAcentral. Lineage: Eukaryota; Metazoa; Chordata; Mammalia; Rodentia; Muridae.
AUCUUUGCUGAUGAUGAGUCCUUGGGCUGCAUCUAUUUUGAGAUGUUUGUAGACAAGGUUUCAAAGACAGCAGAAAACUUUCAUACUCUGAGCACUGGAGAGAAUGGAUUUGGAUAUAAGGGUUCCUCCUUUCCCAGAAUUAUUCCAGGAUUUAUGUGCAGGGUGGUGAUACCAUGAUGGCACUGGUGGCUGGUCCAUCUACAGAGAGAACUAUGGGGAUGAGAACUCUAUCCCGAAUCUUACAAGUCUUGGCUUCUUGUCCAUGGUAAAUUCUGGAACAAACACAAACAGUUCCCAGUUUUGUUUUUUCUGUACUGCUAGGACUGAGUGACUGGAAGGCAAGCUUGUGUAUGUAUUGUGUUUCACCCUAGGAAGGUGAAAAAAAGGCAUGAGUGUUUUGGAAGCCAUGGAGCACUUUGGGUCUGAGGAUGGCAAGACAAGCAAGAAGAUUACCACUUCCAAUGGUGGA